Molecule: ribosomal RNA, 649 nt
Filed under: uncultured bacterium
Lineage: Bacteria
Description: bacterial SSU rRNA
Rfam family: Bacterial small subunit ribosomal RNA
Source: RNAcentral
CAGGCCUAACACAUGCAAGUCGAGGGGUAACAGGGAGUGCUUGCACUCCGCUGACGACCGGCGCACGGGUGCGUAACGCGUAUGCAACCUACCUUUUACAGGGGGAUAGUCAAUAGAAAUGUUGAAUAAUACCCCAUACGAUCUUUGAGGAGCAUUUCUUAGAGAGGAAAACUACGGUGGUAAAAGAUGGGCAUGCGUCCUAUUAGUUAGAUGGUAAGGUAACGGCUUACCACGGCGACGAUAGGUAGGGGUCCUGAGAGGGAGAUCCCCCACACUGGUACUGAGACACGGACCAGACUCCUACGGGAGGCAGCAGUGAGGAAUAUUGGACAAUGGAGGCAACUCUGAUCCAGCCAUGCCGCGUGCAGGAAGACGGCCCUACGGGUUGUAAACUGCUUUUAUACAGGAAGAAACCUAUCUACGUGUAGAUAGCUGACGGUACUGUACGAAUAAGGAUCGGCUAACUCCGUGCCAGCAGCCGCGGUAAUACGGAGGAUCCAAGCGUUAUCCGGAACCAUUGGGUUUAAAGGGUCCGCAGGCGGUUUGUUAAGUCAGAGGUGAAAGCCUACCGCUCAACGGUAGAACGGCCUUUGAUACUGACAGGCUUGAGUUAUUGUGAAGUAGUUAGAAUGUGUAGUGUAGCGGUGAA